RNAcentral lists this ribosomal RNA (276 nucleotides) under Rhizophagus irregularis. Lineage: Eukaryota; Fungi; Glomeromycota; Glomeromycetes; Glomerales; Glomeraceae. The record is from RNAcentral.
CAGUCGUACUUAUGGGUAAUCAGCCUUUUGGGUGUGAUUUUGUGGAGUGUGAGGAGUUAAACGCCUUCGUGCCUGCAUCAAUUCCGGGCGCCGGAAAAGGAUUUGAGGAAUGUGACAGCUUGCUGUGUUAUAGCCUCUUGUCGUACACGGUGCUUGGGAUUGAGGACUGCAGCACGCCUUUUGGUCGGGGUUCUCCCACGCCCACGUGCUUAGGAUGCUGGCGUAAUGGCUUUAAACGACCGUCUUGAAACACGGACCAAGGAGUCUAACAUAUGU